GAUACUCUGUGCAGAUUCUGGUAUCAGAAAGACAUGGGUUUGAAUUUGCCACUUACAAGCAACUACAAUCUAAAUACUUGGAUAACCUCAAGUUUCAAAGAAAUAACUAUAAAGAAGUUGAGAAUCCAAGUAUUUGGGAAUAGAGACUGUAUUAAAAUGAGGGAACCACACAACUUGUCCAGGCAAGUGAUAACUACUUGCCUGAGCUGUCCCACAGUAGGAGGUCCCGAUAAGGAACACUAGCCAUGAGAAUUUGGGAGAGGCCAAAAGAAGGGGAUGACCAACCUUCCAGAGUCCUUUUCGCUGAUCCAUCUUGGCUGAGAGACGCGUGUGCCACCAGGAAGUCAGACAUGAGCCAAGCAAGAUGACCAGCCAGAGACAAUUCAGAAAGUAACCCCAUUGCUAUAAAACCUGAGACUGUGUGCCACAUGGCAGAGUCGUUCUCCUGGAUUCCCUUGCCUUACUGUUCUUUGCACAGGCGCCCCUUCCCAAUAAAAGUCUUCUGUUUUAUCAGCA
Odocoileus virginianus texanus is the source of this 516-nucleotide long non-coding RNA. RefSeq lists it as uncharacterized. Lineage: Eukaryota; Metazoa; Chordata; Mammalia; Artiodactyla; Cervidae. The record is from RefSeq and is a predicted model, not a curated record.